CCAGCAAUCAAGCAAUACACUUUUUGUUUUACUACCAUCUCUCUGCUGUGUUUGUGUUUUGCAAUUUGGGUCCCAAUCCCAUCGGUUGAGUCAGUGUGGAGGUAUGUUGCUGUGGACCAAUGUGUAAGUCAGCAGGAUGGAUUGACAGGCCUCCUCUCAGAAGGCAGCGGGAGCAGCAGGGGGCUACAGAGCAUGAGGGGCUGCAAGCUGGGAGGAGGCAUGGUGUAGUAGUAGUGACUGUCGACAGGGAGACGGAUGACUCCGUCAGUACAGCGCUGCUGAAAGUGCACUUGUUCUUCAGUUUUAUCACUGUUGCUUGGGGCCUGUUCACACCUGGCAUCAGAAUGUGUCACCACAUGUUUCUAUGAGACCCACUUCUAUGCUGUGAAUGCAAAUCAACCUGUGCAUGCAUUUCUGUUUACAAAAAACUAAAUGUAUUGUUAGAUGUUAGGCUACAAUGUACUUCCUGUGCCCAGCCUGCUUGAAAGUAAAAGAAGAAAUCGAAACAACGAAACUAGUUUGAUUCCAGUUUCACUCUGUUCCAGUUCGGCGGUUUGAUCCCCGUCUCCCCCAUUCCGUGUGCUGAGGUGUUUAUUGGUCAAGAUACUCAACCCCAAAUCGACGGCUGUGCUGGCAUGUAUGAGCGAUGUAAAAUGGAGAAAGUUCGGCACAGUGUGAAUGGAAAAACUGUACUGUAAAGUAUAUUGAGGGUCCAUCAAGAUGAGAAAAUUGAAGUGAAGGCUGCCACAGUGAAUGGGAGUGAAUGUAGCUCCGGCUCUCUGCUGCAUCCUGAGGCCCUGCUGAGGCAGACAGGAGACUGCCAGUGUCUCAUCAUCACGCAGCUUCAACAGGACCCUCUGUCUUUGUUUGUCUGGACGGGACAAGACAGGGAUGACAAGACGUCAGCCAUAACGGCCUCGUCUGUAGUUUUCUCCUGCAGUCUGUGGUCGGCAGAGGGGAAGUGCAGAGGAAGUACGGAGGUGGACGAGAAGCAUUACACUGAACUUUCGUUAGUCACCAAACAGCCUGUUGCCCACAUGUCUACAGUGGUACCGGAAUCAGCAGAAUGUUCAUCCCCUUUAAAAUCACAUUUAGUCCAUAGUGCAGCGGUUUUUAAAGAUAUUGUGUUUUAUCACUCAUUUCUCUUUUAAUUUUAUUGUGAAUAUUGUAAACCUACUACAGCUGUCUCUGUCUACAUAUUAUUGCAUGACUAUUUCAGUGUAUUUUUCUUUUUAAUUUAACUUGUUGUUUAUUUAUGUGG
Molecule: non-coding RNA, 1261 nt
Organism: Paralichthys olivaceus (Japanese flounder)
Lineage: Eukaryota; Metazoa; Chordata; Actinopteri; Pleuronectiformes; Paralichthyidae
Source: RefSeq, a predicted model, not a curated record